Pelobates cultripes (western spadefoot toad) is the source of this 431-nucleotide non-coding RNA. The record is from the annotation of a GenBank genome assembly. NCBI's taxonomy places the organism in Eukaryota, Metazoa, Chordata, Amphibia, Anura, Pelobatidae.
CAGGCAUACAUUGUCACCCCCACACACAUUGUCACCCCAUACACAUACACUUUCAGUCCCCACACACUUUCUCCCUCUUCACCCAGCCACACUCACAUUAAACCUUCCUAAUCCUGUCACUCUCACCCCCUCUAACCAUACCAAACUCACCUGCUCUUGCUUUACCACAAUUACAUUAUCACAUUUAACCCCCCUUAAUCCAAUCAGACUCACCUUCUCUUGCACUGUUGCACACAGUCCCCAACCCUGUCACACUCAUCCUCUAUCAGUCUGUUCCACUCGCCCCCUUCACCCUGCCACACUCACCCUACCACAUAAGCCCCUCCAACCCUGUCCUCCAACUGUGCCACACUCGCCCCAACCCUGCCACACUCACCCUUCCACAUUAAUCUAAUCUUGCCACAUUAACCUCCUUAAUCUUGUCACUCUCA